This 2285-nucleotide long non-coding RNA is filed under the name Zostera marina. Its description in RNAcentral is "long non-coding RNA (ZMAR_LNC002118)". Lineage: Eukaryota; Viridiplantae; Streptophyta; Magnoliopsida; Alismatales; Zosteraceae. The record is from RNAcentral.
CAUUGAAGAUCCAAGGGUGGACAUUGAGUGGCUAAGGCUAUAAAUAGAAGGGUAAUCCCCUCAUUUUCACUCACCACACAACAAGCAAAUCAAAAGAGUUUUUCACUCCACAUUUGAGCUCUCCCACGUUUUUGCCUCCAACCUUCCAAAUGCUCAAGUGUCUUAGCUUUUCAAAGCUUCAAAAGCUCUUCAACUUCUUCUUCUAAUCUUCUUGUUCAUCUCUACAAGUAAAAAGUGUUGUUUGCUUUAAUAUUUCACUCCUCUAAUCACCUCUUGUGUGUGUCCACUUUGGUUGAAAGGGUUGUCUCAAUAGUACCAAAGUGUGAGAGAAGGUUUUUGAGCUCAACCAUAAAGCUCUAGUUUGGUUCUAUAGAGUUUCCGGGAAAACUCUUAGGUCGAAUCUACCUUGAAAGAUUUCUAAGUUUUUAAGAGUUCCUUGAUACUCUAAGGUGUGAGUAUACCCGUAAAAGACUGGUUCCUAAACGAAGUAGUUUUAAAGCUUAGAGAGGUUUUUAAGAGUUCCUUAAUACUCUAAGGUACUAACUUACCCGUAAAAGUUAGAGGUUCUUAAGAGUGCCUUUGAUACUUUAAGGUGUGAGUCUACCUGUAAAAAACUGAUUCUUAAGCGAAGUAGCCUUAAAGCUUAAAGAGGUUCUUAAGAGUUUCCUUGAUACUCUAAGGUUUUGUCAUAAUCUUUAGGCUAGUGAAUUUCGAUAGUUGGUCGAGACUGGAUUAACCCUUGUUUAGGUGAACCGGUAUAAAUUCUCUUGUGUUGUUCUUUGUUAACUUUAGUUUUUAUUUUUCAUCUAAAAACAACUAAACAACAAUUAAUUGAAAAGGAUCUCUCUUCCAGUUAUCUGGUCAAAUACAGAGGUUGACUACUUUACGCAGAUCCCUCAUCCAAUUAUCUGGUCAACUAUCUGAGAUUAUAUUCAUUGCUUUAAAUUUUUAUUCAUAUAUUUGUUCAAGCAUUUACUUAUCAUAUAUAUAUCCAGUUAUCUGGUAAUAUCUUGAUUAUCAAAUAUAUAUCCAGUUAUCUGAUCAUUUACUCUAUAAUAUAACUUGUGUUUAUAAUAUAACUUAGUAUUCAUAUACUACAGUUGUUUAUAAAACACUAUCUAAAAGUUGAUUCUGUACUCAUAUACUAUAGUAAACUUUAAGAGAAAAGACAAGUCUAAUAUAUUAUAUUCCUUAAAAUCAUAUAAUAGUAUUAUAUUGCUAACAAUAUUAUACUAUUAUUAUUAUACAACCAUUUGUGUACUUAAGUGUGUGCAGGUAAUUCCGCUAUUAAUCUGUACAAAUCGAAAAGAGGCUAUUAUCCCCCUUUAUAGCAUCGGAUUACGAUCCAACAGAUACUUCCACACAAGCAUAGUUCGUUGAAGGCAUCCUCCUUCCCCUCUUUCCCAAAAGAAGGCAAGGUUCGGAUUCGUCAACAAUUAAAUAAGUCGACUAGCUAGUCAGACGUGGGGUAAAUGUAGGGUAGCCAUCGCCACCCGUCCACCCCAAAUGAGAUCCGUCCCUAAGGAACGAAUCUCGCCAUACCCAAUUCGAGAUUUGGACCCACUACUAAGUAACAUUCGUUGGGGGUUAUUCUAGGUAUCCCCUCCAUCUCAUACAACAAAUAACAAGUCCUCUACAAUUGAGUUUUUAAACUUAAAUCUAAUCUAUCAUAAUUCAAAAACAAUAUACACAUCCACAGCUAUACGACAUAUCAGCUCUGAUGCCAGUAAAGAUAUACUAUAAUGUUUCCUCCUGUUACGUUCACCUUAAAUUGUCCAUGUGAUCGACCCAAGUAUAGUCAGUGGCGUAUCCAGGAGGGGCAAGGGAGGGCAAUUGCCCCCCUAAAAGUUGGAAAAAAAUCGAUGACCUAUAUGUAAUAAUUUUUUUUAUAGGGGGUAAGUGUAAUUUUCACAAUAUAUUAAUAUUUUUUAAGGGUUAAUAUAUAAAUUUCAAAAUAUAUUAAUCUCUCUAGUCUCUCCCUCUUCUCCCCCACUGCCCCACGUUUCACAAAUCUUCAAACCCCCUUCUCCCCCGUUUUCCCACAAAUCCAUCUUCUCCGGCCUUCGAGAAAAAUAAGUUGAUAGUAUUGCAAAAACAUUGGAUAUGAAAGAGUUAAAUACUGGACAAGGAACAACUAUAGACAACGAAGUUAUUUUAAAAAUAUUUAAUGAUACGUGUCCUCGUAGGACAUUGAAGUAAUGUAAAAUGUAUUUGAAAUUUUUAUUGUUAAUUAAAUAAAUAUAUUUAUUUUUAAUUUGAAUAUUAAUUAUGAAAUGAAUGUAUUG